RNAcentral lists this ribosomal RNA (489 nucleotides) under uncultured bacterium. Its description in RNAcentral is "bacterial SSU rRNA". It matches the Rfam family "Bacterial small subunit ribosomal RNA", at positions 28 to 528 of the family's 1533-position model. The record is from RNAcentral.
GAUGAACGCUAGCGGCAGGCUUAAUACAUGCAAGUCAAGGGGGUAGCAAUACUACCGGCGCACGGGUGAGUAACACGUACAUAACAUACCAUAUACUGGGGUAUAGCUUUGGGAAACUGAAGGUAAUCCCCCAUAACAUUGCGAGAGGGCAUCUGAUUGCAAUUAAAGUUUCGACGGUAUAUGAUUGAUGUGCGUUUGAUUAGCUUGUUGGUAGGGUAACGGCCUACCAAGGCGACGAUCAAUAGCUGGCGUGAGAGCGCGACCAGCCACACUGGAACUGAGACACGGUCCAGACUCCUACGGGAGGCAGCAGUAGGGAAUAUUGGACAAUGGGCGAAAGCCUGAUCCAGCCAUGCCGCGUGAUAGAUGAAGGCCCUCUGGGUUGUAAAUAUCUUUUAUCUGGGAAGAAACAAUCUUAUUCUUAAGAUCUUGACGGUACCAGAGGAAUAAGCACCGGCUAACUCCGUGCCAGCAGCCGCGGUAAAGUAG